UUUUGGAAACACAAAAGCAUCUCCCUUAUUCAGAACUUUUGCGAUGAGUUUGUUAUUUAGCUGGUCUGAUGUCACAAAACCGACAUGAAGAGUUCCUUCCAGGACCAGCAGGAUUUCACUGGCACGGGGGUGAAUAUGAGGUGGCCUUUGGCCGUAUGGCGCAUAGUCAAUGCGGAAUGCUGAUAUGCCAAGGGUGUUGAGGCCUGGAAUUUGCUCAACAUUUGCAUCUGUUUCAUCAACACCAAGUCGAUUUGCUGUGUUUCCAGGCUUGUCUAGCCCUGAGAAGAAGAAAUCAUCUGCUCUCGCAAGCUUGGGGUCCUUGCAGAACUUCCCAUUCACAAACACUACAAGAACACACACACAUACACACACAAAGGGGGAAAAAAAGAAUAAUUAAGUAGCAGCACAAAUUAUAUUGAAAUUUAUAUGUUUCGUUAGUUCAGCUUACGUACCACCAUCCUUCGGGUCCUCGAUGGCUACACAGAUAUCUUGUAGAGGGCUAGGGUCAGAGGCAGAGGCCAAAGAAGAAGCCAAAGCCAAGAGAGCAAAACCUAUAAGAAAUUGAAUUGCCUUCAUGGUGAUUAAUUAACAGGAUGUACCUAUCUCAAACUUUAAUCAAGUGUUGUGAUUUGAGAAUAUUGCGAGGCAAACUAGACUAUUUAUAGAACGGAGUCCGUGAACGAGUUUGCGUGUUCAAUUAAUUAGUCCUCGAAGCCGGUCAAGAUUACUGAGUUCUCAUUGGUUAUCUUUGUAAUGUUUCUCAGCCUUCAUUUUCAUUUUUGUUUUCAAAAUUUACACAUCUUAAAUAUAAAUUGUAAAACGUACAAAACAAAGUCUGGCUGACAGUGAUAAAACCCAGACAGGUUAGACACGUUUCCGCCAAUCUUCAAAGCGAACCAUAAAAUACGAUAAGAAACAAUAUUUUAACGCGUUUUCCAAAGCUUAAUUUAAAUAUAAUUUUUUCAUUGGAAAGAAACGAGUUGAAGAAUUUAUGAAAAUGGGUGAGAAAGAAAUUCAUGUCUCUAGCAACAGACUAACAGUUCGGAGUCAUGUUCUGUAGAUGUCGAUGUUACCGGACUUGAUUGGUUUGUUGUUGGACUUAAUGAAGAAGCAUUAUUAGCCUUUUUUUUUUCUUUUUCAUAGCAAUUUUCGUAGCUGCUUUAACCAUUUUUAGUUCUAUCAAUGCUUUACCGAGUCAAUGAUGCACAUGUUUUUUUCAUUACAUGUUAAAGUCACAAAUCAUCUGCUUCAAGAAAAAACGUGAAGACUAUGAUCAGGAGGAACCAAAAGUCUUCUAUCUUAUUUUCAGUGGUCACGUUAAUUAGAAGCUGGAGUCGGCACGUUUUGUUAGAGAUAGUGAAAUCCUUUUACAGUGUCAAUUGAUAUAUAUCAUUUCAACUUUAAAAGUUAAUUUUAAUAUUUGAUAAUUUUUUUUAAAAUCGCUUUUAGUAAAAUCAUGUAGAUCUUGAAAAGUAAAAAAAGAUUAGUUUUUUAAAAUUUGAUUUCGAUGAUCACUUUUAUACUUAAUACAAUUUCAUAUAUAUCCUUAUGUAUAAGAAAAAUCCAAAAUCAUCCUCAUUAAUUAGAAAAUAAAAUUAUUAAUUUGAAAGAGAUUAUUUGUAUUACCAAUUAUAUUGAGAUAACAAGAUAAAAAUAAAAUUAAUAAUGUAAAUAUUUAUUUUAGUUAUCAAUUUUUAUAUAUACACACCUAAAAAUAUUUUAUUUACAUGUUUAUAAAUUUGUAAAUAAAUUUUAUCCAACAAAUGUUCACUUUAAUCAUUUACAUUCUUACAACAUUUUAACAGUAAGAUUUACCAAAUACAUACGACUACUUUUAAAACCCACACACUUUUAAAAAUAAAUUUUACUGAACGUUUAAUUGGUUCUCUAUUAUAGCUGAUUAUUUCUACAGUAUGACUAACAGUAAUUAUUUUACAAGUUAUAACAUUAUUAAACUAGCCCAUAGUGACUCAAUUGAUUAAAACUAAGUCAAUUAAAUCACUAAGUUAGGAAAACAAACCGCCCUUUAGUAAAUUUCUUAAUGUAAAUAUUAGUAAAUUAUGAUGGAAAUAAAAAUAAUAAUCUCUUCCUUUGUUCACCUUUUAAUUAAAAUCCGUUUCAUUAGCUAUUUUGAAUAACAAACUGAAUUGAUCACGAAAUAAUAAUCUCUUUUUCCAAUCAUAAUCAUUUGUAAGGACAUUAAUUAUGUAUUUUUAAUGGGUUCAUAUGUUAAUUAUAUUGUAUACCGUUUGUCAACCAAACUGGCAACCAUUUUAUUGGUUAAAAUUCAUUCAUAUCAGUAUUUAAGAUACGCAUCACUUUCUAGCAACAAUGCGUCAAUGUUAUAUAUGUUCCCGUUCAAACUUUCCACUUGCUGCUUCACCCAUGUAAGUUAUGAAAAAGUUGCUGAGAAAAUGAAAAAAUAAACCAUGGCCAUGAAAAUAAUAAAACGCCGCCAGCCGUUUAGUAUAAUUCUAGGAGCGAUUUAUCAUUUCUUUUUCCUUUUUGCUUUUUAUUUCAACAAUUUAUUAUUGACUAGUGUAUUGCAGGCUUGCAUCAAUGAAGUGUUUGGAUCAUUUAUCCCCUUUUUUUCAAAUAUAAUUCAGAUAUAAUUCUAGAUUAUGCUGGUAGAAACAUCGUCUCAAAGAUUCUAUUGGGUCAUCAAUAGCUGUAUAUGAGUAUAUCUUGAAGAGGGCUACUUUUUCUAGGAUAUGCUGCUAGAAAAUUUUGCAACACGUAACCACUACGAGUUAGUCUUUUUUGUUUAAUUAAGACUCUAAUCUCCCUUUCUAGAAUGCAAGAUAAAAAAUUAAGCUAGAAACGUUAUAUCAAAAUAAUGAAUAGUUACUAAUUUUUGUCAAAUAUAAUUCUAGACAUUCUAGUCACACAUUUUACCAUUUAGUCCAUAAAUUUUCAAAGUACAUAUUAUAUUUCUAAUAUUAUACUUUUAUGUUCAAAUUACUCUGUUGAAUUAUACAUGCGGCUUUUUAACAUAUUAUCCGCUGUGGGUUUAGAUUUAGUAAUGGCAAACCCGCUGCGGGUGCUGCCUAUUGCUAUCUCUAGCCGUGUACUUUUUUUUUCCUUUUAACUACAUUGAUGGAAAGCUGAAUUUUGACUUUUUAUAUUCUGACGAUCCUUCCUUGUACUUCAGUAUGAAGGAAUACGAAGAGAGGGCUGUAUCUUUGGCAUUGGAUCGGCAAAAGCUCCAGGCCCUCACCAAUAAACUUAAAUCAGUACGCUUGACAUGUCCUCUAUUUGACACAGCACGAUGGAUGAGUUGAAACUAAUGUUUGCGAUUGUUUUGCAGUUCUUGGCCCACUUUGUGAAAGAAGUGACUUACAAAUGGAUGCUUUUUUUUUUGGAAAUUGCAAGUCAAGAAUCUGGAGAGGUCAUAUAUCAAAAUGUGGAGUCUCCAUUGCUCUGGGCAGAAGCCCCAACACUUCAAAGUAACUGAGAAUGACUUGGACUUCCCUUGCGAUAGAUAGGUAUAUGGGAAGGGAAACGGGAUUGUAGAUAAAAGCAAAUAGGAAUAGUAGAACGAUGAUUAUUAUUGUAUUUAGAAGAAGAAAUUGUUUCACCUUAUUCAAAUGACGCCAUGGCUGAGUUUGUGAUGUCAGUGCUGAUAAUGGAUUGUAGUCUGUGUACAAAUGUACUUUUCUAUUUAUAAGGAUUUGUGAAAAACGUUGGAGAUUAGAAAAGAAAAUAAAUAGAUUCUUCCUCAAGCCAUCAGUUCUGUUCUAUUAGAGUUGGGACCAGUGGCACCUCCCUAAUCUCAUCAUCAAAUUCCUUCUUCAGUUAUAUUUAUUUCAUCUGUGAAAACGUCGUUUUUUUUCCUUUUUUUUAAGAACACUUUUAAUUUUUAUUUUAUUUUUUUAGUUAAAAGUAGUAUUGUGUUAUUAAUUUUUAUUUCUUUUGUAAUCUUAUUAUUAUCUUAUGCACAAGAUAAAAGAUUUUUUAGGUGACGAGUUUUUCAAUAUUAAUUAUUUAAUUAAAUUAUACAUAUGUUAAAUUAUAAUUUAAAAAUAAAUUUAAGUAUAAAAAUAUUUAAUCGAUAACAAAUCUGAAAAUAAUAAUAGAUUAUUUCAAAUUUUGUAUGGUUUAUUUUAGUUAGAUAAGAAGUAACCGGUACAAAAUUUUAAAAAAAAAAAGAUUGAUUAUAAUUGUAAGUAAUUUUUUUUUUUAAAAAGAUAGAUUAUCAAUAUAAGUGAUUUAUUGAAAAGAAAAAUUUGUGUAUGAUUAAUUUUAUUUGAAGCAGGGUUUUUGAAGGAUAAUGAAGGGGUCCCAAACACUGUGGAGUUGUUGGCUCUUCCGCUGUCAAAGUCACGUAUGCUUGGAAGCUUUUAACCACCGCUGUCAAAAGUCACGUAUACUGCAAUUGGAUCAUGGAUUUUUCAUUUAAUAAGAUAACCACCGGCGGCAACUCUGAUAUACAAAAACAUGUAUUUCAGAUUACGGAAUCUAUCCAAACAUAUAGCAUGCGAGUGCGAUUACCAGCUCGAGCAGUUUUUAUUGCGGAAUUCUUUCAAACACAUAGCACGCAUGUGAAGUUCCCACAUUGGACCUUCCAAGAUGUUAGUUUCUCUAUUCAGAAACCGAACUCAAUGCCUCAUCCCCUCCUUCAAAACCAUGACCACCGCAGCCGCGGCUAAAACCUCAAAAGACGAUUACUUCGCAGCCGUAAACCACAUCGCCAUCAUAGUCCGUCACUACAUAUAUCCAGAACGCACCCUCAACAGACUCAACCUCACCCUCACCUCAGAGCUCGUCUACCGCGCCUCCGCGUCUGCCACACUACUUGCCCUUCCAAAUCCCUCCGCUUCUUCACCUGGGCCCGCUCCCAGCCCCAAUACUCCCCCACUUCCCUCGAAUUCGAACAGCUCAUCUGACCCUCGCCCACCACAAACUCUACCAGUCCAUGUGGAAUCUACGUUCUUCUGGCAUUUGAUUGCGUUCCACCCAAGCACGCUGUUAUUUAUUUUUAAGAAAUAAUGGUGUUUGUAAUUAUUGUCUUUUCUGGCUUUAUCUAGAGUUUAUCUGAGAAAUAAACAGUCAUAAAUAGUUUUGGUUGAUGGACUCUUGGACUUGGUAUUGGAAUUUGGAUUGAAGCAGAGGCGGUUGGCUCGGAGAAAUGAUUACUUUGAACAUUUUUUGCAUGCAUGUAUUUUAUGAUUUUUCAUUUGCUUCUAACCUUGUUGUUCAUUCAAAUGAAAUCAAAUACUCAUUUGGUAUGAUAGAAUCAGUGGGCAAUCAUUUUUAUUUUAGCUUAAAAACCAGGUUAUCUUUGCAUAGCUAUAGUUUUAUAGUUUCUGUUUCUGUGCUUUAUGCUUUCAAAUACUGAUGAUGAACCGAGUGUUUAGCCCAGAGCAAGCUUUCGGGUUUAAGGACAUUAAUUUGCAGCUGAUUCAGCGGUUACACAUACAAUGAUAAAAAUGUGUACCCAAACGCACAGUUUAUGAGCAUGUCUCUCACUGUAUACACGAUUGAGAGUGGGUCCGCCUCCUACUUUAUAACAAUUUAUGUUAGAGUAAUGAUACAGCUACAAACUCUUGUACAAACUUAUUUUGUACAAACUGACGUGGCAUUAAUUCAUUGGUUGAAUGAAAAUAUAAAAUAGUAAAAACAAAUUAUGUGGGCCAAGUGAUAUUUAAUUCAACCAAUCUUAUCAUGCCACAUCAGUUUGUACAAAAUAAGUUUGUACAAGAGUUUGUGGCUAUAUCAUUACUCUUUAUGUUAUACUGACAAUAUUUUCCGCAGUGAUCGCAUGUUUGAAGUUUUGCUUCUCGAAAUGGCUCCUUUCAUUUUUUUCUUUAUUAAAAUAGACAAUUUUCGUUUUUCGUUUUCGACAAGGAAGGUAACUGAUAUGUUUAACGAAGGGAUGAUGUUUUCCUUCAAAAAAUAGUUCAGAGUUAUCGGUAGCGUCUUGUCUUUAAUUUUCUGAACUCCGUGCAGUUGGUGUAAUAGUUUUUGCUGUUCUUCUCUUUGCGGCUAGUGCCUAGAGAGAUGGAGAGAAGCUGAAUGUGAACUAGGAAGGUGGAAAUGUUGUACAUUAACAUACGUAAUCAACUACGACUAUAAAUCCUUUUCAUGGACCCAAAACAUCAUAUCAAUCAAUGCCAUUAUAGUUAUCAAAACUAAAAAAUUAUGGCUUUUGAUAAGUUACAGCUUGUUGUAAGUUUUUGUCCUUACAAAAACAUACAAAAAAUAGUAAUAUGACAGUGAGCACACUUAAUUUUUGUAUGGGCUGUAAAUUACGCUAACUUAGUGUAACUAAAUGUAUUAUAAGAAAGACAAAAUUUAUUGAUUUUUUUCUUAACUAAGUGAUUAGAAUACAUUUACUCAUAAUUAUCGAAGCAGAAAUUAAGUGAUAAUCAAGGGCUUGUAAAACACUUAAUUUCAAACCUCUAAAUUUGAGAACUAUAACAAUAAGAGAAGUUAAGUAACAAUUAAGUGCUUAUAAAACGAUAACUUUUAUUAUAGGUAAAGGAGAUAUGUAUUCAAUAACUAACCACAGGCUGAAGCUCAUCUCAUAUGAAUACUAUUGUGCGAUAGAGAUUACAAUUGUAUGACAAAUGACCCUUGAUAAAUUUAGACAACUAGUAGAAAUUAGAAUUUAAAUUUUUUAUUUUUAAGUUUUUCCAAUAUUCCAAUGUUAAACAUUUAAUUAAAAUUAAAUAAAUCUUAAGGAUAUAUAAAAUCAUGUUUUUAUAAUAGGCCUAAAACGAAACUUUAGAAAAUACAUUUUUUAUGUUAAUUUCUCUUAUACAUUUAUCUGUUACAUACAAAUAUGAUAUGAAUGAGUGAUAAACUCUUUCAUAAAUUAUAUAUUUGACAAGACCAAACCAAAACUUCCACAAAAUAAAUAAUUAAUUAGUUAAUCCAAAACUACCUCGGUUAAUCUGUUAAAUGUUGAAUGUGUUUGAAUAAAGUAAUUUAUAACAAUUUUAAACAAAAUAAAUUUGGUCUAUUCUAUAUUUCAGUCGUCAAUGAGAGUUCUUUUCACCCUUCAACUACUGGACUCUCGCAAUUUAGAGUUAUCAUUUUUAUUAUUAUUGUUAUUGGUCAUAAUUUUAAAAUUUGUUGGGAAAUCUGCGGAAUUAUAUAUUAAACAUCUAAAUUAAUAAUAUGUAUGAAAUAAAUGGCAUCCCACACAAAUAUAAACAAUAAUUUUACUUGAAUUAAACACCCAAAUCCUAUAUUAUAAUAUUAUGCAUAAUUAAACUUACACACUAGACCAUUUUAUUAUAAUUUGGACUUGUGAAGUAUAUUAUUCACUCAGAUUUAUCAACCGUAGAUCACUUUAUCAAACCAUGAUUAUUGUAGAAUUAAAAAAGUUACUGCUUGUCAACUGUAAAUGGACGAACUGUUUAUACUCACCCUUUAUAUAAUUGUGUAAUUAAUUAAUCUUUGUAUAACUCAAAAUUAUUGUUUACUCUAUCAAUCUUAAUGAAUUGAAAGUAGAUGGUUUUAAUUUGCAAAUGUUUUUGCUUCUAUAUUUGUAACUAUUUUUAUUUAAAAAAAUUCAUUAAACAAAUAAAGUUGACCAAAGCAUUCUCCAAAUGCCGACCGUUUUAAUUGACAAAGCUUAAAAACUUUUAAGGAAAUUGGGGCAGAAUAAAUCCUUGAUUAUGUGUAAACUGAUAACCUUCAAAAACCAUUUAAAUUGCCUUUCUAAAGUAUUCUAAUCCAAUAUUUGCUAUAUGAUUUCGAACCAAGUUCGAUUUGUUCAAUUCAUGAUUAAAUGGCAAAGAUAAUAUUUUAAGGAGUUGAAAUAGUUCCACUUUAUUAAUAACUCGGUACAAACCUAAUAAAAAUGAGGAUAUUGGAGUCUCUCGCUCCCCUUGUAUUUGAGAGUAUUUUCGCUUAUUUAUUUAUUAUUUUAGAUUUCUAUGCUGCGUUUAUCUAGUUUAUUAAAAAAAAAGGAAGAUCCUCCUUCGAAAAAUUUCACAAAUUCCAUGCGAGUUAAGUAAGAACUACGCCAUUCAUUAUUUUUAUAUAUGCGGAUACAAGUUGAUCAUAUAUAUAUAUAGAGAGUAACUAAACUAUGUCUUCAGGCAACUAGUUAGCCCCGAACUUUGCUUGAAGAGCUUUCACUACAUAAGGAUCAAGUUGGAAUGCCCUGGCGAGAGCAUAAGGAUCAAUUGGUGGAUCUGAUCCGAAGACUACAUCUGCAAUUGUAAUAACACCAGGAUUCUGGCUACUCAAAGCAGCGAUGGCAAACAGCGUUGGUUGGUCGAAUAUUCACUUGGAAAUGAAUGAGCCCAUUUGGAAACACAAACACAUCUCCUUUGUUCAGGGCUCUGGUGAAGUGUGUUCUUUAGCUGGUUUGAUGUCACAAAACCAACAUAGAGAGUGCCCUCUAGGAUUACUAGGAUUUCUGGGGCACAAUGAUGAGAGUGAUGUGGGUUUGGCCGCUGUUUGCCGCGUAGUCGAUACGAACUAUAGAUAUGCCGAGUAGUGUUGUGCCCUGGAAUCUGUUCUACAUUUGCAGUUGUGACUGUUGAGCUAACUUGAUUCGCUACGCUUUUAGGGAUAUUGUGCCCUGAAAAUUAAUCAAAACUACUUGUUAAAAAGAUUCCGUUUCGUUUUGAAUUUUUUUGUGCCUUUUACUAUUUUAUCCCUAUAAUUAGACUUAUGAUACAUAAAAUGUCAACAAUUAAUCAAUAAGAGAAAAAAAUUAGUCAUAAGUCUGAUUUUAAUGGUAAAAUAAAAAAUAGACAAAAAAGUACAAAGUUUACGUAAUCAUUUUAAUGCCAAAGAGUUUUAAUGAGUUUUGAAACGUAAGGAGAAAAAUAAUAAAUCUACUAGAACAAUAGGAAGAUUUUGAUCAUUUUCCCACUGAUAUAAAGAAAAACGAUACACACCACACGUCUUGAUCUUGAAAUCGUUGAUGGCGACACAAAAAUCCUGAAGACGGCUAGGGUCAGAGGCAAUGGCCAAUGAACAAGCCAAAACCAAGAGAACAGAAGCUACAGGAAAUUGAACUCCUUUCAUGUUGAUUAGCCACAUGCAAUUAGGGAUGGCAAAAAUUCCUACGGGGACAGGUACCCUCGGGGAUUUUCCCCAUUCAGGGAGGGUAUGGGAAUAAUUUCAUACCCAAUUUCUUAUUCGAGGAAAGGAAGGAGAAAUUUUUUUACCAAUUUCUUAUUCGGGGAGGGGACAUGGAUGAGGUGGAAUCCUCAUCCCCUACCCGUUUUCCCAUUUUAAUUUUUAAUUUUAUUAUUAUUUUUUAAAAUUACUAGUAAAUAAAUAAUAAAAUUUGAAUUAUAAAAUUAUAAAUAUUGGUAAAAAUAACAAAUAUCAAAAUAUUUAUAUUAUUAAACUUUUAGGCUUAAUUAACUAAUUAAAGUUCUAAAUUUUUAUUUAGGACAUUAAAAAAACCGGGUAAAUUCUAUUAGCCCAAAAAUUUUGUUUUAAUUUUAAUAUUCAUUAAAUGUUUUAAACUUAAAUAUAUUUUUUAUUUAUUUUUAGAUGUUAUAAUUGCCCACAGCGAAUCACAAUUUUAAUAUCUAAUUUAAUCUAAUAUUUGCUCUUGAUUUGCUCCGACUUAACUAUUGUGUUGUAAAGGGAAUAGUCCACAUUUAUAAAGUGCCAUGCCACCAUUGAAAAAGUUAAUUUUGAAUCUAAAUUCGAUUUUAUUUGUAACAAUUUUGUAUUAGACUAUUAAUUUAUUCAUGAUAGUUUGUAAAAGAAGUUUGUAUCCCUUACAUGCUGCGUUACUUACUAAUUUAAUGUANNNNNNNNNNNNNNNNNNNNNNNNNNNNNNNNNNNNNNNNNNNNNNNNNNNNNNNNNNNNNNNNNNNNNNNNNNNNNNNNNNNNAAUGUAUUAGUUAUUCGGGGAUUGAGGACCCUUGGGGAUCCCCUAUUAUUAUUCGGGGAGGGGAUGUAGAUUCUCUCAAGUAAUUCUGACGGGGACGGGGACAUACGCAAAAUAUCAGGGAUGGGUACGGGGGGAUUGGUCCCCUCCCCUCCCCUCCCCAUUGCCAUCCCUACAUGCAAUUGCUUGCUACAUGCAUGCAAAUGUUCAACAUUAUGUGUGAUUGCUCUUAUCAAGCGACAUCAACUAGUCAUCUACCAAUUGAUCUUGGGGCUCAAUAGAAUCUGUUUCACAUCAGAUUUUGCAUAACAAAAAGUAAUGAAGAGAUUAAUUAAUAUAUGUGUGUGUGUGUGUGUGUGUACGGAAAAAAUAUAUGUAUAAGGAGAGGCAUGGGAAAGGCUUAGCUGCUAAAUAAAACCAACCAUAAAUUAUGUUUAUUACAUGGCUACAAUCAGCCUGAAGAGAGGUUCAUGAGAGAGCUUUUUUUUUACAUUAAUUAAGAUAUGAUAAUCUAGAGCUAAAACAAUAAAGCCACUAGUGAAGAGGCCAUUUAUAUUAAAAGCUCAUUAAUUCCUUCUCCUAAUCGCCAUUAAUGAACUUAUGCUGAAGAUCUUUCACUGUCUUCGGGUCCAACUGGAAUGCCUUGGCAAGAAAAUCGGGAUUGAUUGGAGGAUUAGCUCCAAAGACCGCGUCGGCUAUGGUAAUUUCACCGGGGAACUGGCUGUUUAGAGCAGAAUAGGCAACUGCAUUUGUUUUUCCAACGUUGAAUUGGAAGUGAAUCAAACCUUUUGGAAACACAAAAGCAUCUCCCUUAUUCAGAACUUUUGCGAUGAGUUUGUUAUUUAGCUGGUCUGAUGUCACAAAACCGACAUGAAGAGUUCCUUCCAGGACCAGCAGGAUUUCACUGGCACGGGGGUGAAUAUGAGGUGGCCUUUGGCCAUAUGGCGCAUAGUCAAUGCGGAAUGCUGAUAUGCCAAGGGUGUUGAGUCCUGGAAUUUGCUCAACAUUUGCAUCUGUUUCAUCAACACCAAGUCGAUUUGCUGUGUUUCCAGGCUUGUCUAGCCCUGAGAAGAAGAAAUCAUCUGCUCUCGCAAGCUUGGGGUCCUUGCAGAACUUCCCAUUCACAAACACUACAAGAACACACACACAUACACACACAAAGGGGGAAAAAAAGAAUAAUUAAGUAGCAGCACAAAUUUUAUUGAAAUUUAUAUGUUUCGUUAGUUCAGCUUACGUACCACCAUCCUUCGGGUCCUCGAUGGCUACACAGAUAUCUUGAAGAGGGCUAGGGUCAGAGGCAGAGGCCAAAGAAGAAGCCAAAGCCAAGAGAGCAAAACCUAUAAGAAAUUGAAUUGCCUUCAUGGUGAUUAAUUAACAGGACGUACUUAUCUCAAACUUUAAUCAAGUGUUGGGAUUUGAGAAUAUAGCGAGGGAACCUAGCCUAUUUAUAGAACGGAGUCCAUGAACGAGUCUGUGAGUUCAAUUUCUUAGUCCUCGAAGCAGGAGAAGACUAACAGAGUCCUCAUUGGUUAUCUUUCUUAGGGCCUGUUCGGUAAUUUUUUCCUCUCAUCUUAAAACAUAAUUUUUUCCUCUCAUCUUCUUCCUCUCUCUCUCUCCCUCGUCGUCAAAUCUUAUCUCUAAGUGUCUCAUCUUCUUCCUUUCUCUCCCUUACCAAGUUAUACACGUUACUGCUUUUUCCUUUUUUCUCGAUCAUUUUUUCAAUUGACAUUGUGCUUUCCUUCAAUUUACUCAACUCAUUGGAAAGAAACGAGUUGAAGAAUGUAUGAAAAUGGGUGAGAAGGAAAUUCACGUCUUUGGCAACAGACUAACAGUUGAGAGUCAUGUUCUGUAGAUAUCGAUGUUUCCGGACCUGAUUGGUUUGUCGUUGGACUUAAUGGAGAAGCAAGAUUAGGCUUUUUUUUUUUUUUCUUUUCAUAGCAACUUUCGUAGCUUCUUUAACCAUUUUUAGUUCUAUUAAUGCUUUACCAAGUCAAUGAUGCACGUGUUUUUUUCAUUACGUGUUAAAGUCACAAAUCAUCUGCUUCAAGAGAAAACAGACUAGGAUCAGAAAGGAACCAAAAGUCUUCCAUCUUAUUUUCUGUGGUCACGUUAAUUAGAAGCUGGAGUCGGCACUUUUUGUUAGAGAUAUCCUUCUACAAUCUCAAUUGAUAUAAUAUCAUUUCAACUUUAAUGGCUGCCCGAGGUUUACCGACCGGCUAGCUCAUUAUUUUUUUGAUAAAAAUUAGUUACCUUCGUUUGUUAUAUAAUCAGGGGGAUAUUGGAAUAAAAGAGAAUGGAAAAUGCUAAGUAUCAAGAAGAAUGAGAGAAAUCUGAGAGAAUGAAGCAUGUGCUGAGAGAAGAGAGAGAGAGAAAAAGUUGACAGAAGAGAGAGAGAUGAAGCAAAACAGAAACCUGAAUUGUAGUUUCUCUCAGCUUUCUCUCGUUCUUCUAGCCAUCUAGCAGCACUCAAAGAGAAUAAUUCUUUUUGACGCUUUAAUUAUGCAGUGAGUGCUACUAUAUGACUAGAAGAACGAGACAAAGCUGAGAGAAACUACAAUCUAGGUUGCCGUUUUGCUUCAUCUCUCUUUUUUGUCAGCUUUUUUUCUCUCUCUCUUCUCUCAGUACAUGCUUCAUUCUCUCAGCUCUCUCUCAUUCUUCUUGAUACUUAGCAUUUUCCUUAUGUAAUUGAUCCCCUGCAUUGGGAUUGUACCGUUAUAUAUUAUUUGCUGUUUGUUUUUUAUUUAAGAUCUGAAUAAGUUUAAAUUAGUAUGAAUUUUAAAUAAAUUUAAAUGCAUGAAUUUGAAUAACGUAUUUAUUUAUUUUUUGUCACAAACUUUGAGAAUAAAUAUUAAGUUAUUUUUAACUUCAAAAAUCUAAAAUCAAAACCUUUACAUUUGUGUCCUUACAAUUUUAAAUGUUAAAUAUAUAAUGAACAUCUCAAAGAAUAUAAAUAAGAUAGUAUUUUAUCAUAAUAUAUUUAUAUUUUGUAUGAAUUUUAAAUAAAUUUAAAUGCAUGAAUUUGAAUAACGUAUUUAUUUAUUUUUUGCCAGAAACUUUGAGAAUAAAUAUUAACUUUUAACUUAAAAAAUCUAAAAAUCAAAACCUUUACAUUUGCGCCUUUACAAUUUUAAAUGUUAAAUAUAUAAUGAACAUCUCAAAAAAUAUAAAUAAGAUAGUAUUUUAUCAUAACAUAAAUGGUGCUCAGUGAAUGCAACCUAUUAAUAUUCUAAAUUAGAAUUAUAUUAAUAAAAUUUUGUGAAGAUAAAUAAUUCUAGUUUGAAGAAAAUAAAAAGAUAAAAAUAAUGAUAAUUUACUACUAUAUUAGUAAGCUUUAUUUAGGUAAGGAGGAAAAUAAAUUAAUUAGAUAAAGGUAUUGCAGAGAAUAUUUUUCAAUGAUGUGAUUCAAAAUUUUCAGAUUAAGUAAAAAGCUAAACAAAAUAAUUAGCUUAAAAACUUAAUGACUUAUCAAUCACUAAAUUUUUUUAUUAAAUUGAAAAAAUUAACAGAGUUAUGGUCCAUUUAGGAUUUAUUUCGGGAGGUGCUUUUGAAAAGUUUAAAAGGUAAUUUUGAUGUUUGACAAAUUUUUUAAAAAAUCACUUUUAGCAAAAUCACCGUAUCAUACAACAAAUUUUUAAAAGUAGAGAAAGAGUAGUUUUUUAAAAUUGGAUUUCGAGAAUCCCUUUUAUACUUAAUACAAUUUCAUAUAUAUUCUUAUAUAUAGGAAAAAAUCCAAAACCAUCCUUAUAAAUUAGAAAAUAAAAUUAUUAAUUUUAAAGAGAUUAUUAUUAUUACCAAUUCUAUUGAGAUAACAAAAUAAAAAAUAAAAUUAAAAAUAUAAAACAUUUAUUUUAGUUAUCAAUUAUUAUUUAUACACAACUAAAAAUAUUUUAUUUACAUGUUUAUAAAUGUGUAAAUAAUUUUUAUUCAACAAUAUGUUCAAUUUAAUUAUUUACAUUGUUAAAACAUUUUAACAGUAAGAUUUACUAAACAUUUAAUUGAUCUCUAUACAGCUAUNNNNNNNNNNNNNNNNNNNNNNNNNNNNNNNNNNNNNNNNNNNNNNNNNNNNNNNNNNNNNNNNNNNNNNNNNNNNNNNNNNNNNNNNNNNNNNNNNNNNAUUAAAUCAUUAAGUUAGGAAAACAAACUGCCCUUUAGUAAAUUUCUUAAUGCAAAUAUUAUUAAACUAUAAUGUAAUUAAAAAUAAUAAUCUCUUCCUCUAUUCACUUUUUUAAUUACAAUUAGUUUCAGUAGCUAUUUUGAAUGACAAACUGAAUUGAUCGCGAUAUAAUAAUCUCUUCUUUCAAUCAUAUGGGCAGGUUUGAGUCACUGAGGUAGCUGUGGGAAUUUGUUUUCGUUGAUUUCUGCACUGGGCUUUUUAGGAUUAUUUGUAAAGGCAUUAAUUAAGUAUUUUUAAUGGGUUUAUAUGUAAAUUAGAUUGUAUGUAAUAUUAAAGGUUUGUCAACCAAACUGGCAACCAUUAAUUAAGUUAAAAUCCAUUCGUGUCAGUAUUUAAGAUACGUGUCACAUUCUGGCAACAAUCUUAAUAUGUGUUUCCAUUCGAACUUUCCACUGGCUGCUUGACCCAUCUAAGUUAUGAAAAGUUUCUGAGAAAAUGAAAAAAUAAUCCAUGGCCGUGGAAAUAAUAGAACGCCGCCAGCUGUAUUGUAUGAUUCUAUGAGCGAUUUAUCAUUUCUUUUUUCUUUUUAUUUCGACAAUUUAUUACUGACUACUGUAUUGCAGGCUUGUAGCCAUUAAGUGUUUGGAUAAUUUAUCCCAUUAUUUUCAAAUAUAAUCCAGAUAUAAUUCUAGAUUAUGCUGGUAGAAACAUCGUCUCAAAGAUUCUAUUGGGUCAUCAAUAGCUGUAUAUAUCUUGAAGGGGACUAAUUUUUCUAGGAUAUGCUGGUGGAAAAUUUUGCACCACGUAACUACUAUGAAUGAGUCUUUGUUGCUUAAUUAAGACUCUAAUCUCUCUUUCUAGACUGCAAGAUAAGUUUAAGCUAGAAACAUUAUAUCAAGGUGUACACAUUUUCAUCAAAUAUAAUUGUAGACUUUCUGGUCACACAUUUUACCAUUUAGUCCAUAAUUUUUCAAAAUACCUAUUAUGUUUCUAAUAUUAUACUUUUAUGUUUGAAUUAGUCUGUUGAACUAUACAUGUGACUUUUUAACAUAGAAUACCCUACAUACCUUUUAGUAGGGGAUUUAAAAAAAAGAGCGCAUUAUAUUAAACUAAGGUAGUAUUUGUUUUUUUUUUUUUUGUCUGAAAUCUAAAUGAAUCUGAAUUUUUCUAAAGUCUGAAUGGGUCUGAUUACGAAAAUUUAAAUAAUAUGUUUAUUUUUCUUUUUUAAAUAUCUGAAUAUAAGUGACAUUUUGUUUGUUUUUAAAAUAAAAACAUCUUAAACUUGGUUAUUUGACAUUUAUGUCCUUGUAAAUUCAAAAAAAAAAAAGAGAAUUAGAUUUUAUAGUUUAGGAAAUAAGUUAUUUUACAGAGAUAUUUUUAGAAUAUAAUAUUUACUUGUCUUUCAGACCUUUUUUCAUACAGAUAAAAGUCACAAAGUUUAUUUUUUCUAUUCAUAUGUAAAUGUCUGAAAAUCAGACAUAAGUUCCAAAAAAACAAACAAGUAUAUUUUAGAAAAGGUCUGAAAUUAAUAAAAUUUCAAACUUCAGACAUUUAACAAACAAUCUCUAAGUGUAUGUUUAAUAUGAUUUAUCUAAUGGUCAUAAGUGCUUAUCUAAUCCCAUAAAUUCCUUUUAAAAUUAUUAUUAUUGUUUGAUUGCAUUUUAAGUAAAGUUUUUAAGGAUUAAAUAAAUUUUUUUGUCUCUACUAACAAAAGCUUAAAUUUUAAAAUUUUGAGAGUAUAGAUUAGAGAGACCUUUUAAAAAGUUAAAUCGUCCAAAAUGUUCCAUUAUUUAUUUCACAAUAUUAUGACAUUUCUCUCUCUCUCUCUCUCUCUCUCUCUCUCUAUAUAUAUAUAUAUAUAUAUAUAUAUAUAUCUUAAUUUUAAAAAUUGAUCUAUUAAAAUAAUUUUAUAUAAUUUUUAACAAAGAUCUCAUCGACAACCAAACAACUAAAAUUUCUUUAAUAAAAGCUUCACUUAUAAAAAUUUUACUAACAAAAAUUUUAUUUGAAUAAAUUUUAUCAGAAAAAUUAUACCAAACGAAGCUAACAAUAAGAUUAUAAUAGUAAAAGAAUUCAAUAAUUGCACUCUUAAUGUUACCAUUUAAAAAUUAUUAAGUUAAGAAUGAAAUAGGUAAUUUGGGAAACCCAUCUGGAGGGAUUUGCUUAACAUCCUUUAAAAUUUUUUCCCAGCUGGAAGUAAUUGCUGAACAUCCUUUUCAAUUCCCGAGUAUUAUCUAAUCAGCUUAUUUUGUCAUUUUUAGGUGUUUGCAAAGGCUUUUGGCAAGGAUACUGGGUUGGCUUACGUGUAGUGGACUGAUCAUGUUGACUUUGUUCGGUAGCACAUUUUAUUUUACGCGUGUCUAGUUGUAACCAUGUCUCUCACUGUAUACACCAGUGUGAGUGGGUCCACCUACUAUUUUAUGACAAUUUAUGUUAUACUGACAAUAUUAUUCGUGCUGAUCACAAGUUUGAAGUUUUGCUUCUCUCGAAGAACUGGCUCCUUUCAUUUAUUUAUUUAUUAAAAUUUACAUUUUUUUUCCGUUUCCUUGCAAGAAAGGUAAUUAGAUUAAGUUUAACGGGGCGAUGAUGUUUUCCAUUAAAUAAGUAAAACACAAUUUUAUGCCAGAGUAGAAAUGGCCAAUCAAAACAAGGGUUAUCCAUGUUCGUGCCAUGCCGUCGUGUGCUUAAUUUUUUUUUCUCGUACCUUGCCCAUAUGUGUUGUGUUGUGUCUAAAAAGAAGUUCAAUAAUUUUUUUUAGUUUUUUAAAAGCACGUACUAAGUAAUUGAUAUAUUUUUUUUAAGUUUAUGUUUUUUUUAGGUCUAUACCUUUAUUCAAAUUUAAUAGAAUUGAAAAUUUAAAACUCAAGUCUAUAUUUUAUAAUAAUAAACUAAUAAUAGUAAGAGAAUGUAAUAUUAAUUUUUAAGUUUGACAUUUUAACAUUAUUUUUUUUUAUACUUAACAACAACAACAAUAAUAAAUUUUUCUUAAGGGUUAACUUAAUUGUUAACUUAGACUUACAUAGAGUCAUAGAUCAUAAUUCACAAUAAUAUUAAUGGAUAUUUAUAAAAUCAUAAUAAUUAUAAUUUUAUUUAUUAAAAUCAUGAUAUCAAUUAUAUAUUUAAUAAAUUAUAAAUAUAAAUCAAUUAUAGUACUCUUUAAACUAAGAAUUAAAUGAAUUUAAAAAAUUCAUUUUCAAGUUAUUUGUAAAACUAUAAAAUUUUAAGUUUACUUUCAUUAAAAAAUAAAAUGUGCUUAUUGUGAACUUUUUUAUCGUGCUAUACUUAGUCCAUUUCUAAUCAUGUAGUGCUUUUAAUGCUCGUGUGCUUAAAAUUUUAAGUCUGGCCCAGUCCACGUGCGUACUGUGCCAUACCACAUACCCUACCAAAACGUGCUGGUAUUGUGCCGUACUGUACGAAUACAUGUCGUGCCAUGUGUCAUCUAGUCCAUUGGCCAUCUCUACGCCAGAGUGACAAUAUGCCACAUUGAGAAGAAUUGUGUGCCCCUAAAGCUGGAUUAAUAAUUUAAUUUGAAUUGACAUCUAUAACAGUUGUAGGCUAACCAAUAUUUCCACAGAAAAAAGUAGUUCAAAAUUAUUGGUCGCAUCUUGUCAUAAAUUUUUUAACUCUGCGCAGUUGGUGUAAUAGUUUCGGCUGCUAUUCUCUUUACUACUAGAGCCUAGAGAUGGAGUGAAGCAUAUUGGGAAUUAGGAAAAGAGAGUUGCUUCCUUACAAUUAGGCAGGCGCUAAGUUACGGUUAACGUAACUUACGCCCACACACAGUAACAGUACCACUGGUGGGGCCUGGUACUGUUGCUACGUAAGUUACGUUAUGCCGAGUAGUGUUGUGCCCUAGAAUCUGUUCUACAUUUGCAGUUGUGACUGUUGAGCCAACUUGAUUUGCAAUGCUUUUAGGGAUAUUGUGCCCUGAAAAUUAAUCAAAACUACUUGUUAAAAAGAUUCCGUUUCGUUUUGAAUUUUUUUGUGCCUUUUACUAUUUUAUCCCUAUAAUUAGACUUAUGAUACAUAAAAUGUCAACAAUUAAUCAAUAAGAGAAAAAAAUUAGUCAUAAGUCUGAUUUUAAUGGUAAAAUAAAAAAUAGACAAAAAAGUACAAAGUUUACGUAAUCAUUUUAAUGCCAAAGAGUUUUAAUGAGUUUUGAAACGUAAGGAGAAAAAUAAUAAAUCUACUAGAACAAUAGGAAGAUUUUGAUCAUUUUCCCACUGAUAUAAAGAAAAACGAUACACACCACACGUCUUGAUAUUGAAAUCGUUGAUGGCGACACAAAAAUCCUGAAGACGGCUAGGGUCAGAGGCAAUGGCCAAUGAACAAGCCAAAACCAAGAGAACAGAAGCUACAGGAAAUUGAACUCCUUUCAUGUUGAUUAGCCACAUGCAAUUCCUUGCUACAUGCAUGCAAAUGUUCAACAUUAUGUGUGAUUGCUCUUAUCAAGCGACAUCAACUAGUCAUCUACCAAUUGAUCUUGGGGCUCAAUAGAAUCUGUUUCACAUCAGAUUUUGCAUAACAAAAAGUAAUGAAGAGAUUAAUUAAUAUAUGUGUGUGUGUGUGUGUACGGAAAAAAUAUAUGUAUAAGGAGAGGCAUGGGAAAGGCUUAGCUGCUAAAUAAAAACAACCAUAAAUUAUGUUUAUUAAAUGGCUACAAUCAGCCUGAAGAGAGGUUCAUGAGAGAGCUUUUUUUUUAACAUUAAUUAAGAUAUGAUAAUCUGGAGCUAAAACAAUAAAGCCACUAGUGAAGAGGCCAUUUAUAUUAAAGCUCAUUAAUUCCUUCUCCUAAUCGCCAUUAAUGAACUUAUGCUGAAGAUCUUUCACUGUCUUCGGGUCCAACUGGAACGCCUUGGCAAGAAAAUCGGGAUUGAUUGGAGGAUUGGCUCCAAAGACCGCGUCGGCUAUGGUAAUUUCACCGGGGAACUGGCUGUUUAGAGCAGAAUAGGCAACUGCAUUUGUUUUUCCAAUGUUGAAUUGGAAAUGAAUCAAACCAAUUGGAAACACAAAAGCAUCUCCCUUAUUCAGAACUUUUGAGAUGAGUGUGUUAUUCAGUUGGUCUGAUGUCACAAAACCGACGUGAAGAGUUCCUUCCAGGACCAACAGGAUUUCACUGGCACGGGGGUGAAUAUGAGGUGGCCUUUGGCCAUAUGGCGCAUAGUCAAUACGGAAUGCUGAUAUGCCAAGGGUAUUGAGUCCUGGAAUUUGCUCCACAUUUGCAUCUGUUUCAUCAACACCAAGUCGAUUUGCUGUGUUUCCAGGCUUGCCAAGCCCGGAAAAGAAGAAAUCUUCUGCUCUCGCAAGCUUGGGGUCCUUGCAGAACUUCCCAUUCACAAACACUACAAGAACGCACAA
RNAcentral lists this long non-coding RNA (19283 nucleotides) under Citrus x clementina. RNAcentral describes it as "Citrus clementina (C. clementina) long non-coding RNA (CCLE_LNC004561)". The record is from RNAcentral. Lineage: Eukaryota; Viridiplantae; Streptophyta; Magnoliopsida; Sapindales; Rutaceae.